RNAcentral lists this ribosomal RNA (403 nucleotides) under Verrucomicrobiota bacterium. RNAcentral's name for it is "Verrucomicrobia bacterium partial 16S ribosomal RNA". It matches the Rfam family "Bacterial small subunit ribosomal RNA", at positions 355 to 776 of the family's 1533-position model. Lineage: Bacteria; Pseudomonadati; Verrucomicrobiota. The record is from RNAcentral.
UGGGGAAUAUUGCACAAUGGGCGCAAGCCUGAUGCAGCAACGCCGCGUGAACGAUGAAGGUCUUCGGAUCGUAAAGUUCUGUUGCAGGGGAAGAUAAUGACGGUACCCUGUGAGGAAGCCCCGGCUAACUACGUGCCAGCAGCCGCGGUAAUACGUAGGGGGCUAGCGUUAUCCGGAUUUACUGGGCGUAAAGGGUGCGUAGGUGGUCCUUCAAGUCGGUGGUUAAAGGCUACGGCUCAACCGUAGUAAGCCGCCGAAACUGGAGGACUUGAGUGCAGGAGAGGAAAGUGGAAUUCCCAGUGUAGCGGUGAAAUGCGUAGAUAUUGGGAGGAACACCAGUAGCGAAGGCGGCUUUCUGGACUACAACUGACACUGAGGCACGAAAGCGUGGGUAGCAAACAGG